RNAcentral lists this long non-coding RNA (1108 nucleotides) under Marmota monax (woodchuck). The record is from RNAcentral. Lineage: Eukaryota; Metazoa; Chordata; Mammalia; Rodentia; Sciuridae.
CCAAGUCAGCCUGCAGUGCUUUCUUCAAAGGCCGCUUCCUCAGGGAAGCCCUCCCUGCUGACUCCUCUCCCGGACACCUGGUAAGAAUGGGUCACACCCCUGUGUUAUGGCCCGCCUAGCUCCAGCAGCCCUUCCCUUGUAGUUCACACGUUAAGUAUCACAUUCUCGGUUGAUUUGUGUUCACACUGAUGAGCCCCGAGGGCAGCAGCCAUAUCUGUUCACCUAUGUGUUCCCAGCUCCAGCAGACGGCCUGGUACACAGCAGGUGCUUGACAGGUCCUGUGGGCGAGACGCCACUGGCCAACUCUAUUGGGGCAUGCCCAGAGAGAACAUGUACCCAGAAAGCUGUUGUCGGAUCUCUGAUAGUGAAUGAAUUUGCUACAAAAGAAAAUUAAAAGAAAAAAAGCAAAAUUAAUGACAACCCUCACCACUAAAUCAAGAGAACAGACCCAAAAUCAAGUUUGGGGCAAAAGUCUGUGUGAGUGAGGAGAUUCUGAGUCCUCUCAUUUCAAAGAUUUGUUCCAUGUGUCUCAGUAGGCCAAGUCCCCCGGGAAUUGUGACGUCAGGGAAAACAGACUGAGCCCAGGACCAAACCAACCACGUUAUUCCAACUGGUGAUCUCCAGACUCUCAUUUCUGACCACUGUGUACGAGGGUGGCACUGGGUGUGUGAGACCUCGUGCCACUCGGGUUCUCUGGGGGAGAGACAGACAUCAAAAGCCAUGGACUUUUCAAUAUCCUAAGUUUUGUGAAUAAAAUAGGAGGCAAAAGAAAAUGGCCAACACAUGUAAAGAGCUCAUUAAAAGAAGUAAGAAGAGCAUCCAGAGUCCAACAUGUGUGAACAGAGGACAUGAAGGAUUAUGGGCUGGGCAGUGAGUAUUUGCUGAAUGUUCAUCUGUGUCAGACACAGCAUUAAGAUUUUCUUUUUUUGGUACCGGGGAUUGAACUCAGGGGUACUCAACCACUGAGCCAUAUUCCCAGCCCUGUUUUGAAUUUUAUUUAGAGACAGGAUCUCACUGAGUUGCUUAGGGCCUCGCUAAGUUACUGAGGCUGGCUUUGAACUUGCAAUCCUCCUGCCUCAGCCUCCAUAGCCCUGGGAUUACAGGCAUG